Molecule: ribosomal RNA, 433 nt
Filed under: uncultured bacterium
Lineage: Bacteria
Description: partial 16S ribosomal RNA
Rfam family: Bacterial small subunit ribosomal RNA
Source: RNAcentral
AACGAACGCUGGCGGCAUGCCUAACACAUGCAAGUCGAACGAGACCUUCGGGUCUAGUGGCGCACGGGUGCGUAACGCGUGGGAACCUGCCCUUAGGUUCGGAAUAACUCCCCGAAAGGGGUGCUAAUACCGGAUAAUGUCUUCGGACCAAAGAUUUAUCGCCUUUGGAUGGGCCCGCGUUGGAUUAGCUAGUUGGUAGGGUAAAAGCCUACCAAGGCGACGAUCCAUAGCUGGUCUGAGAGGAUGAUCAGCCACACUGGGACUGAGACACGGCCCAGACUCCUACGGGAGGCAGCAGUGGGGAAUAUUGGACAAUGGGCGGAAGCCUGAUCCAGCAAUGCCGCGUGAGUGAUGAAGGCCUUAGGGUUGUAAAGCUCUUUUACCCGGGAUGAUAAUGACAGUACCGGGAGAAUAAGCCCCGGCUAACUCCGUG